Molecule: long non-coding RNA, 915 nt
Filed under: Salvia miltiorrhiza (redroot sage)
Lineage: Eukaryota; Viridiplantae; Streptophyta; Magnoliopsida; Lamiales; Lamiaceae
Description: long non-coding RNA (SMIL_LNC007053)
Source: RNAcentral
UGUGAGGGUGAGUACGUCCGCACGAAGCUGACGAUCUUCUUGCAGUCCCCGCACUCGUUGACAGCCCGGAGCACGGCCCUGAAGGCCCUCCUGAUAGCCCGGCCCGGCCCGAAGUCCGUUACCUUGGGCUUGCGGCAGUAGAUGCACCCGACGAGGUUGCCGUCCUCGUACAGGUAGUUCUUCCGGACGAACCAGGGGCCGCCCGAGAAGACAGCGUAGUCGAUGGAAGGCAGCUCCGCUGUCCACCGGGGGUCGGCUCUGUCGAGGUGCAAGUCGAAACUGCCCGUAGCGGUGCCGUUGACUAUGAGCUCGGUGGCAGCGAAGAGGAACUGCGACCAGAAUACGGUUAGUGCAACUCCUUUUUUCUGAUAAAAAAAAAAGAAUACGGUUAGUGUGAAGUUAUGUUUUGGAAACUUCCGUAUUGUGAAUUUGUCGUCUGCAUCUUUUUUGAUUGAUCUUGGAGUUUCUACCUGCAAACCAUAUCAAUAUACCUAAAUGAGGAUUUCCACCAACAUCUUUUAGAUCGAGCUUGUUGCAGAUGUACAAUGGCGGAUCCAGGAAGCCCCUCCCAAUUUUUGAGUUUUAAAUAUAUAUAUAUAUAUAUAUAUAUAUGUAUAUAUAUAUAAUAGAUUAAUACAUUAUUUUAGUAAUCGUACUAUCCACAUUAAUUGCUUAACAUUUUACAAUGAUUUUUUAUAUUAGUUUGUUAAAUUUGUGUUAUUUUGGUCCUAUUUUCUUUUCUGUGUUAAUUUUAAUGUUCAAUUUGAGUUAAUUCUCAAGUUAAAGUGAUGCAGUUCAGAGCAGAGCACAGGAUGCGGAGCAGAGCCGAGUUUCAGAGGCUGCACAGAGUGAAGAUCCGGUACACGUGCCCGUUGGUCCGGUGACGGAGCUAGAGCCAAGACUUCAAGGCUAAUU